RNAcentral lists this long non-coding RNA (894 nucleotides) under Equus caballus (horse). RNAcentral describes it as "lncRNA (ENSECAG00000040883.2)". The record is from RNAcentral. Lineage: Eukaryota; Metazoa; Chordata; Mammalia; Perissodactyla; Equidae.
AGAAUAAAAGGGAGUCACAGGCAUAGAACAAUUGGGGGUCUCACCGAGGAGAGGACGCUUUGCCUCAGACCCGGACAAUCAGCACUCCUGCCCGCCACACAAACUGUUGGGACUUCCCCGGCUGAUUGUGAUGUGGAUGUUCAUAAACCAGUUGCCAUGUUGUGAGCAGUCCUAUGAAGAGGUCUUCAAGGAAAGGAACUGAGGUUCCCCACCAAAAGCCACUUGCAUGAGCUUGCAACCAGAUCCUCCAGACCCAGCCAAGCUUUCAGGUGACUGCAGCCCCAGGCAAUAGCUUGACUGAAACUUCACAAGAGACCCAGAGAUGCAGAGCCAGAACCAUCCAGCUAAGCUGCUGCCUGACUCCUGGUCCUCAUAAACCAUGUGAAUUUAAUUCGUUUUCCGGCCAGAAGGACCCAGAGCAGAUAGAGGAAAUGUCUUCCUCCCCUACACUUCCUUAUGAGGGAGAAAACAGACUUGAAUCAGAGCCAUCUCUACUACUUUUGGAAAAGGUUCUUGGAAAGUCUUGAGUUCUCAGAAGAGAUGAAAAAUGAAUUGAAUCCAAAUCUUGACUGGAAUUCAUAAAAGCACAGCUUUGUGACAUUUGUUUUCCUGCAUCAAAAAUGAAGACAUUAUCAUACUUAAAUAAUUACGGUAACCAACAAUGUGUUUUCUAUGGAUUGACCUGCAGAGGUGGCAAUUUUGUCUUCAAGAACACAGACCUUAGAGAUCUUGGGAGAAAGUGAAUUCUCACUAGAUAUUGAAAGCCUGAAUCUAGAAAACACUCAUUGUUCGGGACCCAUUCCUAUGUCUCUUACAAAGCAUUCCAUUUGGAUUAAACCGUAUGCACAGACAUUUCUUACCCUCCCUCAAAAGUCGUAAGAAGCUGAAACAAAA